UAAGAACGAACUUUAUACGGUGAAACGACCGUGAAACAACCGUCAUUCGACCAUGCUUUCACCGUGUCGCCGAAACCGCCAGGGUUUAUAGCAUUAUAAAAAAAAU
Long non-coding RNA from Cotesia glomerata, 106 nucleotides. RefSeq lists it as uncharacterized. NCBI's taxonomy places the organism in Eukaryota, Metazoa, Arthropoda, Insecta, Hymenoptera, Braconidae. The record is from RefSeq and is a predicted model, not a curated record. The transcript is spliced from 3 exons.